Molecule: small nucleolar RNA, 142 nt
Organism: Phyllostomus discolor (pale spear-nosed bat)
Lineage: Eukaryota; Metazoa; Chordata; Mammalia; Chiroptera; Phyllostomidae
Product: small nucleolar RNA SNORA15
Exons: 1
Source: RefSeq, a predicted model, not a curated record
GCAUGGCUGAAUACUGUGUUCUUUUUGUCAGUAGUUUACACAGCCAGACACCAUGCAAAAGAAAAAGUUUUCCCUUUUAAAGUAGCUAUAAUAGAAUGCAAAGUGUCUUCAUAGCAUAUCAUUACUAAAAAUGGAUACAAUA